CUCAGAUCCAGCAGUGGGAAGAGCUUGCUAAGAGGAAGUGAGCUCUGUGGAUCAAAACUAACUCUGACUGGGGCUGCUCCUUACUGACCUGUAUGCAACUAGGUAAAGGCUUCCUUGUGAGGGAGUCUGCAGGGAAGUCCUCAGGGGGCUAGGGUACCUAUUAUCAACCACAGGAAUGUAGAAAACACUUAUCAUUCUUAUUGCUUUUCAGGUUUAAUUUCUAUAAUGCAAUCACAAAGCUUUCUUGUCCUGUACUGACUCUCUUUUUUUUCCCCCUCCCCUUUGUAAAACAUAUGAGCUACUUGCUACCUACAUUACUGUUUCAGCCCACCCGUAUUAGAACAGAUCACUAAUGUAUUUUAGAAAUCAAUUUGUCUUCACCACCUGGUUGGCUUGUUUUUGUUUUCUUUUUUGUUUUGUUUUUUUCCCUUGCUUUUCUCUUGAAAGAAAGCUAAGAGCCAGUUAUUGGAGCUCCUCAUUGGCUCUCUCUUCUGUGAAGGUUGACCUUAACAGGAAAUCUGGCACGCAUUGGCUCCUAAUUCUGUGCGUUAAUACAGAAAUUCUGUUCUGUUCUGAAUCCCACUGCUGACUGAUGGGUGGUGCCACCCGGCUGUUAAGGGGUAAUGCGCUGUAAUGGAAGCAGGACCUGAGCAUAGGGUUUUGCAAAGGGCCCUGAAAGCGGGCUCUUAGCUCUGGCUGCAUUAUAUGUGAUGAGCUUCUCGUUCCCAGGGAACAAGUCUUUAAAAGGAGAGGAGCAGAAAGGAAGGCAGUGAACAGACAGACCUGGAAGCAAAGGGCAGGAGGGAACAGAAGAGAGCUUCCCAAGCCAUCUGCAAGCUGCUAUAAACCCAUCUACGUUUGAUGCUGGAGGGAAGCGGGCUGUACGCCUCUUGGUGCUGUCCCCAGCUGCUCGUGGAAGUCAGCGCUGCUUCGUUUGGGUUUUGCUGCCGUGUUUCCCACAGCGUGAGAGCUGUCUCAGCCGCCGCUGGGCGCCGGGUAUGUCGAGGGGCUUCAGCGGGUGGUGGGAG
This 1028-nucleotide long non-coding RNA is filed under the name Gallus gallus (chicken). RNAcentral describes it as "lncRNA (ENSGALG00010024414.1)". Lineage: Eukaryota; Metazoa; Chordata; Aves; Galliformes; Phasianidae. The record is from RNAcentral.